AGUGAAUACAUAGCUCAAUGAAGCGAACCGGGAGAACUGAAACAUCUAAGUACCCCGAGGAAAAGAAAUCAACCGAGAUUCCGAAAGUAGCGGCGAGCGAAAUUGGAUUAGCCCUUAAGCUUUACAUGUGUUAGACGAACGGUCUGGAAAGUCCGACGAUACAGGGUGAUAGUCCCGUAGUUGACGAUGCAUGUUCAGUGAAAUCGAGUAGGGCGGGACACGUGUUAUCCUGUCUGAAUAUGGGGGGACCAUCCUCCAAGGCUAAAUACUCCUGACUGACCGAUAGUGAACCAGUACCGUGAGGGAAAGGCGAAAAGAACCCCUGUGAGGGGAGUGAAAUAGAACCUGAAACCGUGUACGUACAAGCAGUAGGAGCACCUUCGUGGUGUGACUGCGUACCUUUUGUAUAAUGGGUCAGCGACUUAUAUUCAGUGGCAAGGUUAACCAUCUAGGGGAGCCGUAGGGAAACCGAGUCUUAACUGGGCGCCAUAGUCUCUGGAUAUAGACCCGAAACCGAGUGAUCUAGCCAUGGGCAGGUUGAAGGUUGAGUAACAUCAACUGGAGGACCGAACCGACUAAUGUUGAAAAAUUAGCGGAUGACUUGUGGCUAGGGGUGAAAGGCCAAUCAAACUCGGAGAUAGCUGGUUCUCCCCGAAAGCUAUUUAGGUAGCGCCUCGGACGAAUACUACUGGGGGUAGAGCACUGUUAAGGCUAGGGGGUCAUCCCGACUUACCAACCCUUUGCAAACUCCGAAUACCAGUAAGUACUAUCCGGGAGACACACGGCGGGUGCUAACGUCCGUCGUGGAGAGGGAAACAACCCAGACCGCCAGCUAAGGUCCCAAAUUACAGCUAAGUGGGAAACGAUGUGGGAAGGCUUAGACAGCUAGGAUGUUGGCUUAGAAGCAGCCAUCAUUUAAAGAAAGCGUAAUAGCUCACUAGUCGAGUCGGCCUGCGCGGAAGAUGUAACGGGGCUAAGUUGUAAACCGAAGCUGCGGCAAUGUUCUUUGAACAUUGGGUAGGGGAGCGUUCUGUAAGCCGUUGAAGGUGUGUUGUAAAGCAUGC
RNAcentral lists this ribosomal RNA (1064 nucleotides) under Vibrio vulnificus. Its description in RNAcentral is "partial 23S ribosomal RNA". It matches the Rfam family "Bacterial large subunit ribosomal RNA", at positions 157 to 1273 of the family's 2925-position model. Lineage: Bacteria; Pseudomonadati; Pseudomonadota; Gammaproteobacteria; Vibrionales; Vibrionaceae. The record is from RNAcentral.